This 253-nucleotide ribosomal RNA is filed under the name uncultured bacterium. RNAcentral describes it as "partial 16S ribosomal RNA". It matches the Rfam family "Bacterial small subunit ribosomal RNA", at positions 524 to 776 of the family's 1533-position model. The record is from RNAcentral.
UACGUAGGGGGCAAGCGUUGUCCGGAUUUAUUGGGCGUAAGGCGCUCGCAGGUGGUUCGAUGCGUCGUGCGUGAAAGACCCCGGCUCAACUGGGGGGUGUCGUGCGAUACGGUCGGACUGGAGGCCAGUAGGGGGAUGCGGAAUUCCGGGUGUAGUGGUGGAAUGCGUAGAGAUCCGGAGGAACACCAGCGGCGAAGGCGGCAUCCUGGACUGGUCCUGACACUCAUGAGCGAAAGCGUGGGGAGCGAGCCGG